GGAGGGUAUAGCUCAGUGGUAGAGUGUGUGCUUAGCAUGCACGAGGUCCUGGGUUCAAUCCCUAGUACCUCCA
RNAcentral lists this transfer RNA (73 nucleotides) under Vicugna pacos (alpaca). RNAcentral describes it as "tRNA-Ala (AGC) (tRNA-Ala-AGC-540-1)". It matches the Rfam family "tRNA". From Rfam's summary of the family: Transfer RNA (tRNA) molecules are approximately 80 nucleotides in length. Their secondary structure includes four short double-helical elements and three loops (D, anti-codon, and T loops). The record is from RNAcentral. Lineage: Eukaryota; Metazoa; Chordata; Mammalia; Artiodactyla; Camelidae.